GAGGCCGGGCCCGUGGCCGAGGCACAAAACGUCUGCUCGUCGCCAAUGUUUUCCAGGCCAGACCGAGACGGCGGCGGCCCUGCUCCCACCCUGCCUUACAUUCUCCCCAUUCUUACGCGUUUCCUGACCUCCCUGACGCCGGUGCUUGACUCAGGAGACAGAUAACACCCCGAGGCAGUGCCAGGCGAGGGAGCAGAGCCAGCCAGCGCCCCGCGAGGAGAGGAGGGCAGCACACAGUGUGCAGCAUGGCCUCCGUGCAGUGCUACAAUAAAGGCUGCGGCCAAAAGUUUGUGCUCGAGGACAACAACGACGACGCCUGCGAGUACCACCCCGGCGCGCCCAUCUUCCACGACGCCUACAAGGGCUGGUCCUGCUGCAACAAGAAGAGCACGGACUUCACCACAUUCCUCAACACAAAGGGCUGUACGAAGGGCCGACACAACCCUGAGAAGCCCCCUGAGCCCAAGAAGCCCAAGGUGGACCCCAGCACCAGGGACGAAGUGAUCAGCGUGCAGGCGCCCACCCACGGCUCCCGGCUGUCCCAGGGGCUGCCCAGGCCAGAGUACAGCGCACCCACCAAGAGACUGCCCAUCACCAUCGCCCCCUCCCUUAAGCAGGCAUUGGAGAAGAAGGCCGCGGAGGAGAAGACCGACAACAACACUGAUGAAGGGGAGGUGUCGGAGACUGGUAUUAAGAUCGGGGAAUCCUGCAAGAACAACGGCUGCAAGGCUACAUAUGAUGGUGAGCACAGCAACCUGGACCUUUGCGAGCACCACCCCGGCUUCCCAAUCUUCCACGAGGGCCUCAAGUACUGGACCUGCUGUCAGAAGAAGACCACAGACUUCUCGGAGUUCUUGGACCAGGCGGGCUGCUCCACGGGGCACCACUGCUGGGUUAAGUUGGACUCUAAGAAGGUCGCCACGUGCCGUUACGACUGGCACCAGACCGGCAGCCACGUGUGUGUCGCCAUCUACGCCAAGCUGAGCGACCCCAAGACCACAUACGUCGAGGCCAACCCCAUCAGGCUCAACGCUAAUAUUGUGUUCGGAGACGCCAACCUGUUCACUCUGGAUGGGGAGCUGAGAGGGAUCAUUGACGUGGAACAGAGCAGCGUCAACCUGGCAGCGACCAAGGUGGAGAUCAAGCUGAAGAAGGCCGAACCAUGCAGCUGGCGGACGCUCAUCGCCGAGAAGGCCGCGCCAACCUCCGAGAACAAGACAGACGACGAGAAGGCGGAGUAUGAGGAGAUCAAGGAGAGGGUGGAUGCUGUGGACCUGAGCGACCUCUGAGAUACAAGGGAAGGAUAGAACACUGUAUUGGUAUUACUGUAUCUUAUUGAAGGCUUUUAUAUACCAGGCAAAGAGAUGGAGAGGGUAACUUACUGAACCCAUUGUGAGACCUCUGAGACACAAGGGAAGGAUAGAACACUGUAUUGGUAUUACUGUAUCUUAUUGAAGGCUUUUAUAAACCAGGCAAAGAGAUGGAGAGAGUAACUUAUUGAACCCAUUGUGAGAUCUCUGAGACACAAGGGAAGGAUAGAACACUGUACUGGUAUUGUAUCUUAUUGAAGGCUUUUAUAACCUAGCAAAGAGACAAAGAGAGUAACUUAUUGAACCCAUUGUGAGAUCUCUGAGACACAAGGGAAGGAUAGAAUACAGAGUUAUGGUACUAUGGUAUUUGAAGGCUUUUAUAGAAUGGAAUUGGGAUUUAGAGGGUAACUUAUGGAAGCCUUUUUACACUUUCUGAGAGGCAAAAAGAUGAAAACGGAAAUAUAUCGAACACAUUUUGAGAUCUCUUGAGAAUUAACCCAGUAGCAGCGACGGGCCAAAUUUGUGCCAUGAUAUAAACCCCAAAAAUAGAUGAUACAUAAAUUGAUCACAAAUGCUUUGAUAUAUAUUAUGAAAUGGUUUGUGUGAGUGAUGAUUUCUUCUCAUUUUUCUCGCUUAGAGGGACCAUUAAGAAACAUGAUCCCCGCUGGCUGCUACCGGGUUAAUGGAAGAUUACGACACGGAAUUAUUAUUAUUAUUAUUAUUAUAUGUUACUGAAGGCUUUUAUAGACUAGAGCAGGGAUUAAAAGGUUAAGUUACUGAAGCCUUUUUGCACUUUCUUAGAGGGAAAAAGAUGAGAAGAUUGUAACUUACUUAAACCAUUUUGAGAUCUCCCGAGACUCAAUUUAUGGAAGAACUGGAGAUGGAAUUACUGUAUGUUAUUGAAGGCUUUUAUAGACUAGAGCAGGGAUUAAAAGGUUAAGUUGUUGAAGCCUAUUUGCACUUUCUGAGAGGGAGAAAGAUGACAAAGAGGGUGACUUAAAUAAACCACUUUGAGAUCUCCUGAGACUCAAUUUAUGGAAGAACUGGAGAUGGAAUUAUUGUAUGUUAUUGAAAGCUUUUUAUAGACCAAGACCAGCCAGCACUGCAAUGUUCACAAAUGCCGCUGCAAUGCCAACACCGUUUUCUUAAGUCAGGGGUUAAAAGGGUAACUGAUUUAAACUGUUUUAGCGAUAUCUUGAUAAUUAAUGAAAGAAUAGAUGGAAUAAUUGUAUACUAUGUUAUUUCAAAAUGACGAGGGUAACACUGAAGACAUAUUGCAAGAGUCAGGGGUUAAAAGGGUGACCGAUUCAAACUGCUUUAACAAUAUCUUGACUAUUACUGAAAGAAUAGGAGAUGGAAUAAUUGUAUACUGUGUUAUUUCAAGGCUUUUAUACACCAGGCAGA
This is an RNA transcript of Eriocheir sinensis (Chinese mitten crab), 2714 nucleotides long. It is a transcript of the gene named cysteine and histidine-rich domain-containing protein morgana-like, with no coding region annotated. NCBI's taxonomy places the organism in Eukaryota, Metazoa, Arthropoda, Malacostraca, Decapoda, Varunidae. The transcript has 8 exons. The record is from RefSeq and is a predicted model, not a curated record.